UACCUGCAAAUAAAUACAAAAACACCAGCACAGCAAAGAAAGAGGAGAAAAAAAACAAAACUUGUAUUUUCUUUUUCAUUUCUUUUUCUCCCUGUUUUCGGCUAUAAAAGUCGUAUAAUAGCGGUUGUAUUUUGGUUCUUUUUUUUUGAUGCAACAAAAACACGAAUACAAACACAGACAAUAUACGCAAUAGAAAAGCAAUAGACGAAUCGAAAGGUGAUUCAUUCACAAUCUCCCUCCCUUAUUUUCCUUUUCUUCUCUCAUUUUACCUUUUUUGAAUCGAAUGUAUGAAAAGAGAAACGAAACUUACCUGCGUUUGAUGUCUUCGAAUCCUCGCUUGCUUCGCUAUGAUUGAAACCAAGCGGUGAUUCGGGGUUCGUGAGCAAGGCAUGCGAAUCUUUCGGUUCGAUGAAGCCUGGAUUGACUCUUGAGUGAGUCGAAAGGAUAGGCAGGAGAACAGGCCUUUGAAAGGCUGAUUAAACGGCGAAGGGCGAAGGGCGAAGGCACCCUAGUUUUUUUUUUCUUUCUUGCUCUUUGAAAAUGGUUGCAGACCCUCUUAGGGUUUCUUUCGAUGGCCAUAAAGGGCCCUCCAAACGUCAUCGUUUUAGGCCGAAUUAAUGGCCUCAAAACGACUGUGUCCAAAGCUGCAGCUCAAUGACCCGACCCGCACACGCUCAAGAUCCGCGUGUCUUGUCACGGAUGGGCUAUUUUCGACGCAAGUCCCUCCCCUUUCGCGCCAUAUUUAAAUCAGCCCAUGUUCUUGCCUUGUUUGUUUUUAAUUUGACCCUGAUGAUUUACACUUAUUUGAAAAUGGACCCGCGCCUGAACGCAGCCUUUUGGGAUCUGGUAUAUUGCCAGUUUUAGUCCCUAGCUGUUUCCGUGCAUUGGCUAUUGGUCCUUCCAUUGUUUCUGUUUAUUUUCAAAUUUACCUUUUGUGUUUUAGUUUAAUUUUUAUUAGGUCUUUUUAUUUUAUAACUUUAUAAUCUUUUUCAUUUAUUUACUUGUAUAUUUUAAACAAUUUUGAUAAUCAUUUUUUUUAGUGUUGUAGAUUCGUUUUUUGUAAUAUUAUUAUCAUACUUUGUAUAUCUUAAAUGUUUAUUUCUUUCAUGUUAUUAGGCAUAUACAUGUUUUAUAAUAAUCCUAAUGCUUCAUACAUAUAAUGUUUUAUUCUAACUAUGUAUUUUAGCAUAUAUCUUGCCACGAUAAUACAUUUUGUUUAUACAUAUAUAUUUUGCAUAAAAUUAUUUUUCUAUUUGCUUAUAUUAGUACAUAUAUUCAGUUUAUAUAUUAUUAAAUCUAUACACAUUAUCAUUUCUUUAUAAAUUUGCAUGUGUUCUCUUUAAAAUUUAUAUAUACAUAUACACAUUAAUACACUUAUUACUUUAAUAGAUUUUUAUUUUAAAACACCUUUUGCUUUGUAAUUUACCAAAUAUUUUCUUUAUGUAUAUAUGAAAUAAUUUUAAAAGCUUUUUAAUUAUAAAAUUAUUAUUGUUAUAUUUUUGAAUAUUUCUUUAUAUUAUAUUGCUUUUGUGUUUUAUAUAGCCUAUUAUUUAAAUGUUUUGAUAUAAGGAUAUGUAUGGUUUUUAGACCAACCAAAAUUAUAUAUAUAUUAUUAAUCUCAUUCUUUUUAUAAAUUUAUAUGUACGUUUUUUUACAAGUCUAUUUUGGGCAUUAUGUUUUGUCAUGUAUUUUUCGUAUCAUAUUUAUUAUUAUUAUUAUUAUUAUUAUCAUAUAUUUUGUUAACUUCUAAAUAAAUUCGUGUUUAAAAUAUUUUACGUGUAAUUUGAUUCAAAUUUUUAUUCUAUAACAUCUAUUCCAAAAAUCAUAUAGCUACCCAUAGUUUUCAUGCAAAUUUGUCAACCUAUGUAUGGGUCCAUUUAUUCGUUAUUAUUUUAAAACCGUUUUAUAGUGCAUUGGCUUCUAAUUGCUAUGUUGUUUUUAUAUCUUGCAUUGGUUAUUCUAUAUCAUGCUAUGUAUAUCAUUGUGGCAUAUUAUUGUAUGUAUUGUUUUGUUUGUAUGACUGUUAUAUUAUAAUUUUCGUCAUUGUAUUAUUAUGUGAAUUAUCCUCCAUGCGCUAUUGUAAUCGGAUUGCAUUUUUAGGUUAGCUAUAUUUAAUUAUUAGUUUGCUAAUCGAUUGCAUCUCGUAUGUGCCGGUUUACCCCAUAUCAUCGUUUCACUUGAUUUUUGAAAUGUGGUUCUAUAAAACCCAAAUUUUAUGAUUAAUUUCGUCUUAUUUCAAAUAGAAUUAAUACGUCUUAAGCUAGCUUUAUAAUCAUUCAUUCAAAAAUUCUUCAAAGCGAAGACGAGAUUUGAUGUUUGGCAAUUCGCAGAAUCGUGCCCUAACGUGUUGGGUUGCAAUUUCGCGUUUGCUCAAAAUAAUCGAAUAUCACUUCAAAAUUUCACUCAUGUCUUUUAAAAAUCCCUUAAACGAAGGCGAUAUGUGAUAUUUGGCAAUCGUGGAAUCGUGCCCUAACGUGUUGGGUUGCAAUUUCCCAUUUGUUUAAAAUAAUCAAAUAUCCCUUCAAAAUUUCACUCAGGUCUUCUAAAAAUCCUUUAAAACGAAGGUAAUACUUGGUGUUUGACAAUUCGAGAAUUAUGCCCUAUCGUGCUGGGUUGUGAUUUCUCGUUUAUUCAAAACAAUCGAAUAUUCCUUUAGGUUUUCAUUCAUGUUUAUUAAAAACCUUUCAAAAUGAAGGCGAUGUUCGAUGUUUGGCGAUUUGAGAAUCGAGCCCUAUCGUGCUGGGUUGCGCUUUUUCAUUUGCUCAAAACAAUCGAAGAUCCCUUCGGAAUUUCACUCGUAUUUUCCAAGGUGAGGCAAUGUUCGAUGUUCAGAAAUUCGAGGAAUCGUGCCCUACUGUGCUGGGUUCGGUUUUUCUUUGGACCGAAUAGUUGGGCAUCAUUUUGUUAAUUUCAAAUUAUGGACUUUCGGUCGUCGAAACAAGAAGAUUUUUGGCAACCCACUCGGGUUAUUCAAACGUUAUUAACAAGAAUCACAUUUCAAAAACAUUUUUAAUUUUAGACAUAAGGACAGUAUUUAAUCGAUUUGGUACCAAUUUUAGGCGUAAUGAGGAUGCUAAUCCUUCCUCAUACGUAAUCGACUCCCGAGCCCUUUUUCUCAUAUUUUCAUAGACCAAAAUUAUCGUUUUAGUAAACCAAAAAUGUUUUAUUAAAAUAACUAAAUUCUUAGGUGACCCGACCACAUCAAAACAAAAGAAUUGGUGGUGACUCCAUGUAUUUGUUUUUCAAACGUCGAUUCCCCCAUUUUUUUUAAUUUUAAAAUUUUAAUUAUAAAAAAGGUAUGGUUUCGACAGCUUGGCGACUCCGCUGGGAACGUUUGAGAGUCGAGCCAUAAAAUUGAUUAUUUGCUGUCUUUUUGUCAAAAAACCAAAAAUUUGUUUUGAAAAUCGUGAUUGCAUUUGUUUGUGUAAUUGUUAUGGUUCGAUCUUGUAGGAUAAUGCUGCAUUUCAUUGCAUGACUGUUGUGGUCACACCUUCUAAGUAAGAGUAAGAAACUACACUUUCGUGAGGUUUUCACCUCUGCAUGGGCUAGUGGAUUGCUUCCGGGUUACAUCCGUACCUAUGAUUUUGUGAGAUUUUCAUCUCCGCAUGGUCAUAGGGAAAUGUAUCCCCCCGAACCAAACUCGAUCUAUAUGAGCCUACAAUGGGUGAGGAUUGAGGAAUCUGUUGGUUCGGGUACCUUAUCCCUAGAGCUAAACCACAUAUAGUGAACCUUAGGAGCUAUCCUCGGGUGGAGCCGCGCCAAGCUUUAGUACUUACCCAUAUAUGCGUUAUAAUUCAUGUGCUUGCAUUUUAUCGAUAUUAUCUGAUACUAACCUAUGUUUUGUUUUGAUUGUCCUUUUUUGCAUAACAUUGCAUAUUAAAGGAGGUGUUAAUCUGUAUUUAAUUACUAAGUUAGAAAGUUUGACAUGGAGAAUGAAUUUCUUAGUAAAGUCGAGGAUAAUGCGGUCGUUCGUGCAUGGUCAGAGAAGCUACAAUCAGAUAGAGGAGAUAGCUUGAUAGAAGGACCUAUCUCCGAGUUGCAGGAUUUCACUCGCAUCAAUGUAGCACAAAAUGAGCUGCAAGAGUUGAAAGAUAUUUGGGCCAGUUGGGAUGAAGGGAUCAAGCAGUUGUUCUAUCAAAGCUACGGUGAUAUAUCCUACUUGCUAGACAUUAGAGUGGACAAGCAUCUAUUUCGGGUUAUAGUACAGUUUUGGAAUUCUGCGUACAAGUGUUUCACUUUUGGAGAAGUGGAUUUAGUACCUACCGUGGAGGAAUACACUACUUUGCUCAGGUGUCCAAAAAUUCAGGUCGGGAAGACUUAUGCCCGGGUUUUUAGUAGUCAGACUUUCAUGAAAAAAUUGAUGAGCAUUUCUGGGAUGAGCGAGCCUUGGGUCACUGCUUGGAUUCAGCAAAAAGGAGAUAGUAAGUGCAUCCUUUGGGAGAAUUUGCGAGAUUUGAUUUUGACACAUCCAGAUGAAAGAAAGAGGGUUGAUAUCUUUGCCUUAAGCAUCUACGGAUUGGUGAUUUUUCCUAAGGCUUUGAGGCACAUGGAUGAGGCAGUCAUUGACUUAUUCGAUCGCCUUGAGAAGGGAAUCAUGCCGGUACCAGUGAUAUUGGCAAAAAUGUUUAGAUCUUUGAGCUCAUGUCAGAAGACGGGCAAAGGACGGUUCAUCGGAUGUGUUCAAUUAUUGAUGGCAUGGUUUCACGGACACUUUUGGAAGGUAGACAAGGUUUCCUAUCAGGUAUUUUCUGAGGGUUAUUCCCCCUUAAAAGAAGAGGCAGCUAUACAAAGGAGAGAGGAUAUCUCGGAGGAGAAGUAGAUGGACAUUCUUCAGAACCUUAAAGAGGGGGAUAUCGAGUGGAGAGCUUAUUGGAUAGUUCUUGACGAGAUCAUGCACCGAUGUGGUAACUUCGAUUGGGUGCCAUUGUUAGGAAUUUAAGGAGCUACCGGCUAUACUCCAUUACUUGCGUUAAGGCAAUAUAAGUCAAGGCAGUUUGUACCCACGACCUAUGGACUUGCUUAGAGUGAAUUCUCAUUCAAAGCUGCUCAUUAUAAGAAGAGAGUUCGAGAGUUAUCGAAUGCUUGGAAGCAAACUUGUUGGAUAAAGAGGUUAGCUAUUGGUUCCAUGGUAACGCCCAAGUAUAUCGAGUGGUUUAAGAAUAGGGUUAAUGGUAAUGUUCCUAGGCCAAGCUUGGAGGAUGCUCGACUUAUCGUGGAACAAUUACAAGUCCCCCAGUCAGAAUUGGAGAUUAUAAGGCAAGAUUUCAAGAAGAAGAGUUCGGAGCUUGGGAAGAAGAUCGAACAAUUGGAGGAAGAAAAGAUGCACUUAAAAUUGGAUGUUGAUGUCCAGAGGUUAGAGGCUGAAAAAUGAAGAAAAGGAAAAACUAAGGCCGAAGAAGAUUUAGACAGCUUGAAGACGGACUACAAGAAGCUACGCCUAUCUAUGAGGACUGCGGGUUUAGGUAAGACUUCCGAACAAUGACGCCAUGAAAUUCGAGAAGAAAAACCCAAUACCGAUCGGUGGGAAAGGAAAUUCCGAUAAGCUCAGGCACGAAACAAAGAUUUAGAGAAGAGUCUGUUGGAAAACAGAAAUGAGCGAGGUGAAUUAAGGGCUAGAGUGGUGGAACUCGAGAAGUCUCUGCAUCAUUACCGAAACCGCAACACCGUAAUGGAAUUGAGGGCAAGCUUGAGCAAGAUAGAAGAAAUGAAAGGAAAAAUAGAAGAGUUAGAGGCGUCACUGUAAAACUGUGAAAUGCGGAUCCAGUUUUUUGAGGCAAACGAGGAUCGUUGGAAAGAACAGCUUCACCAUGCACAAGACCAAGUCAGAAACAGAGAUUACCUUAUGGGGGAAGCCAUAACCUAGAUUAGGGAGGUAGCUGAUUACUUACAAACUUUAGCGGUUCAGGCAGACACACUGAGCGUGAAGUAUAAGUUGGAGUCAGAUCGCGGACAAGAGCUGGCCUCGUUGCUUAGAAAAAUUAGCACUUUGAGUGUUAGAGCGAAAUUUUAUUUGUAACUCAAUUUUACGUAAAAGAUUUUAUUUUCAAGUGAAAUUUUCUAAAGGCAAUUGAAUCAAAAUUGAUGCCUCCUUUGCAUUCAUGCAUUUGCAUUACAUCAUAUCAUUAUGCAUUAAAGGCCAUAAGAGUUUUCUAAUAAAUUAAAAAUUAUUUCAGUAACCUGGAAACCAACGAAAACCAACCAACCAUGCACCCCUACGGUACAAGAAAAAAAUCAAUGGAUAAGAGACUCGAGAAAUUGGAGCAAAUGCAAAAGGACAUGCAGGAACAAAUGCAGUCUCAGAUGCAAAAGCAGCUAGCCAAGAUUCAGCGAGAGAUAAAAGAGAAAAUGAUGGAGUCCUAGAGGGAAAUGAUGAGUCAGUUAUCCCAAUUGUUGUUGGGAGGAACAGAUAAGGGAAAGGGCCCCAUGGAUAAAGUCGAGAAAACUAAUGAAGAUCCUCAACACCCCCUGGCUUUACUCCGACACAUGUACCGAUGAAGCCCGAGAUUAAUCUACCGAAACCAUCUGUCACGAUCAUGCCCCAGCAGGUUCAGGCUGGAGCUUCAAUACCGAUGAAUUUCCAAACCGUCUCAGGCUCUAACUUUGUCAACAACCCGAACUAUCCGCCCAUUCCCGAUUUGGACGAAAUUGUUGAAGAAGAAAAGGCAAUGAUAGAUUCGCAAAAAUAGUUGGAAGAACGGUGUAGAUGGCUUGAGGAGAAAUUCAAAGCCAUAGAGAGCGCGGAUCAUCAUCAAGGGAUUGAUGCCAAGGACCUGAGUUUGGUCCCAGAUUUAGUUCUUCCCCUUAAAUUCAAAAUACUCGAAUUCGAGAAAUACAAUGGAACAAGUUGCCCUGAAGCUCAUAUCACUAUGUUUUGCAGGCGAAUGACGGGAUAUGUUAACAAUGACCAGCUAUUAAUCCACUGCUUUCAAGAUAGUCUGGUCGGGGAGGCGUCUAAGUGGUACAACCAAUUAAGCCGCUCUAAAAUUAACUCAUGGAAGGACCUGGCUCAGGCCUUUAUGAAACAAUACAAUCACGUGACGGACAUGACCCCUGACAGAAUCACUCUCCAGAAUAUGGAGAAAAAGUCAAAUGAAAGCUUCAAAUAGUAUGCACAAAGGUGGAGAGAAGUGGCCAUACAAGUUCAGCCACCGCUUCUAGAAAAAGAGACGACAAUGCUCUUUAUCAACACCUUGAAAGCCCCUUUUAUCACUCAUAUAUUGGGAAGUGCCACAAAGAGCUUCUCCGACAUAGUGAUGACGAGGCAAAUGAUCGAAAAUGCUAUGAGGAGUAGCAAGAUAGAAUCAGGAGAGAGUGCUAGGAAGUCGGCUCCGAGGAAAAGAGAUAAUGAAGUGAACAACACGAGCACAUUCAACAAGGGGCAGUCCAAGUCAUUUACCGUAAAUCAACCCAAAACAGUGACCACCAAUCAACAAAGCUCUGUAAGACAAGAAUCCAAUGCAAGGAAGAACACAGAAAAGCCACAAUUCACCCCUAUACCCAUGACGUAUAGGGAGUUGCACCAGAACCUGUUCAACACUCAUGUGGUGUCCCCUUUCUACUUGGAGCCACUGCAGCCCUUGUAUUCCAAAUGGUAUGACACAAACGCCCAAUGUGAAUACCAUUCGGGAAUUACCGAGCACUUAAUCAAAAAUUGCACUGCGUUUAAGAAAGUAGUCGAAAGACUCAUUAAGGUGGGGAUCGUGAGAUUUGAUGACCCAGCCACACCCAAUGUAGCAGGAAACCCACUCCCCAAUCAUACCGAUCAAGGAGUGAAUGGGAUAAGUGAAGGUAGGAACAAGGAGACCAAGUAUGAUGUGGCAGAAUUCAAGACCCCGUUGAGGCGGGUAUGGAAGGAGAUGGCCAAGAGAGGAUUGAUUGCUUUGGAUUCGAGGGAAGAAUCCGAAGAAGAGAGAAACUACUGUGAGUUUCACGAUGAGGUGGGGCAUGAAAUCCAAGAUUGCGUGGGGUUCAAAGCCUUAGUGUAAAAUAUGAUGAACAAUAAGGAAAUUGAGUUUUAUGAAGAAGCCAAAAACCCCGUAGAGGGAGAUAUAUGCGCAUCGGAGGGAGAAUCGACUGCACAGAAUCGAACAUCUAACUAUCCUAUGGUGAUCAUUUCGAGACCCAAAAAUAAUGAAGCUGGAGUACAAAUGCCACUAAGGGUCAUAAUCCAAAGGCCGGCAGUCUUCCCCUACAAAGACAGCAAAAAGUUCCCAUGAAAUUAUGAGUGCAGUGUGACGAUACCGGGAAAGAAGAGCCCGGUUGACGCUUCAAAAAGGGACCAAGAUAGGGGCUCCUAUACACGUAGUGGGAGACGUUACGAUACAAUAAAUGAGGAGGCACAACCCACAAAACCAAAAGCCCUAGUGGUCGAGGAAACGAAGGAAAAUGCAACCAAACCUGUUAACGAGCCAGUUAACGAAGAGGGGGCCAAGGAGUUUUUAAAAUUCCUAAAGCAUAGCGAAUACAGUGUGGUAGAAUAGCUACAUAAACAACCAGCCCAUAUCUCAGUGCUGGCCUUACUUCUAAGCUCGGAAGUUCAUCGUAGCGCGCUGAUGAAGGUCUUGAAUGAAACAUACGUUGCCAAUGAUAUCUCCGUUAACAAGUUGGACCGCUUGGUUAGCAACAUCAGUUCCGACAACUAUAUCUUUUUCAAUGACGAUGAGAUUCCACCCGGGGGCAUGGGGUCGAUUAAAGCUUUGCAUAUCACCACGCGCUGUAAAGGGUAUAUGUUGCCAGGCGUACUAAUUGACAAUGGGUCAGCUUUGAACAUCUUGCCAUUAACCACGUUAAAUAGGUUACCUAUAAACAGUUCUCACAUGAAGGAGUGCUAGAACAUCGUGAAGGUAUUCGAUAGUACGGAGAGGAAAGUGAUGGACAGAAUCGAGGUACCUCUUCAGAUCGGGCCAAACACAUAUGAGGUUGAUUUCUUCGUGAUAGAUAUCAAGCCCUCAUAUAAUUACUUAUUGAGGGGCCCUGGAUACAUUCAGCUGGGGCAGUGCCUUCCUCGUUGCAUCAAAAAUUGAAGCUGGUAUCGGAGGGGAGGUUGAUAACGAUCAAUGCCGAAGAGGAUAUCAUUGCAACUGUGAGCAAUAAUGCGCCCUAUUUGGAGACAGAUGACGAAGCAAUCGAAUGUUCAUUUCGAUCUUUGGAAUUUGUUAACGCGACCUUCAUCGCUAAGGGAAGCAAGAUUCUGGUGCCAAAAUUGUCCAAAACCACGAGGAUAAGCCUACAGUUAACUAUUGGAAAAGGGGCCCUACCCAGAAGAGAACUUGGGAGGCAUCUACAAGGAAGGAUGGAAACGCCAACACUGAAGGACAAGAGAGACCGCUUUGGCUUAGGAUUUAAGCCGAAUGCAAAACAAAGGAGAAGGGAGCUGGAAAGAAGCAAGCGAGAAGGAGAGCACAGUUAACGGGGGAGGAAAUCAAAUGGGAACCAAUGAUAUUCCCCCAUAUAUCGAAAACGUUUGUGUCCAAGAGAAUCAUUCACCCCGAGAGAGACACGCCAAUAAUGGGAGCCAUAGGAGAAAGGCUAGAAAGCUUGGACAUCAACACCACGUACGAAGAGGAGACUGGAAGAGAAAGUUUGUCGGGCAUUUGCCCCUACCUACCUGGAAGUGUUCUGGAUAACUGGACUGCAGAAGAGAUUCAUGUAGUUUUUAGAACUGAUUCAGAGUAUUGUCCAAAACACACUUAUUGCUCUAGGCUUAGGAGUAAUAAGAAUCUUUUGUGAAAUAGGUUGAUGUUUAAAAAUGUUAUUUCAAUAAAAUGCACGGUUAUUAUCAUUUUUGAGCAAAUGUUCUCUCAUCCUUUCAAUUCCAUCAAUAAUCAUACAAAUGAUUACUUUCAGAUUCUUUAUUCUUUAAACAGUCCAAAUAUUCUUUCAUUCGUCAUUCAUAAUCAUACCACACAAAUAAAUGUUUUGAAUUCUUUUAAUUCUUUGUAUCUACCUUGAUCCUCAUAACAGGUCCCCAGAUAUCAAUGAUAUGAGUGACACUACUAGUGACUUACGAUCCCCUUUUGAGUGAGAUGUGUGUAUGGAGGAUUAUCAAGAUUUUAAGGAUGACCAAGGCUAUAAACUAUCUCCUGAUUUGUUGAGAAUGGUAGAAAAAGACGAGAAACAAAUCCUACCCCACAAGGAAUCGGUAGAAAUUGUAAGCGUAGGAGAAGGGCAAGACGUGAAGAUCGGAACAUGUAUCACCAUGGAGAUGAAGCGAGACAUUAUUAAAUUACUUCAAGAAUUCAAAGAUGUCUUCGCAUGGUCAUACCAAGAUAUGCCUGGGUUGGACACUGAUAUCGUGGUGCACCGACUUCCCAUAAAGGAAGAAUGUAAGCCAGUUCAACAAAAACUCCGAAGAAUGAGGCCCGAUGUCUUGCUAAAAAUAAAAAAAGAGGUUCGAAAGUAGUUUAACGCUGAAUUCCUGAAGGUGGUAAAAUACUUAGAUUGGGUAGCCAACAUCGUCCUUGUCCCUAAGAAAGAUAGAAAAGUACGAAUGUGUGUAGACUAUAGAGAUUUGAAUAAAGCCAGCCCGAAGGAUAAUUUUCCCCUGCCUCAUAUCGACACCCUAGUGGAUAGCACGGCAGGACACUCACUGUUUUCAUUCAUGGAUGGUUUCUCCGGAUAUAACCAGAUUAAGAUGCAUCCUGAAGAUAUGAAGUAGACCAUAUUUGUAACCAUGUGGGGUAUGUUUUGCUAUAAGGUGAUGCCGUUUGGACUGAAGAAUAUCGGGGCAACAUAUCAAAGAGCCAUGGUAACCCUGUUCCACUACAUGAUGUAUAAGGAAAUCGAGGUUUAUGUCGAUGAUAUGAUCACAAAGUCUUGAACAGAGAGGGAGCACAUACAAGUCCUGAGAAAAUUGUUCUUGAGAUUGAAGAAGUUCUAGCUAAAACUCAACCCAGCCAAAUGUACAUUUGGAGCCAAGUCUGGAAAGUUGCUCGGAUUCGUGGUCAGUGAGAAAGGAAUUGAGAUCGAUCCAGACAAAGUUAAAUCCAUACAAGAGUUAUCUCCACCACGUACCCAGAAAGAGGUUCGAGGCUUUCUAGGAAGAUUAAAUUACAUCGAUCGGUUCAUUUCACAACUGACCGAGAAAUGUGACCUUGUCUUUUGCCUCCUCAAGAAACACAACCCAGGUGAAUGGGAUGAAGAAUUCCAAAGGGCUUUCGACAAGGUCAAACAGUACUUAUCCAAUGCUCCAGUGCUAGUGCCACCUAACCCCGAAAAGCCAUUGAUACUGUAUCUGGCAGUAUUUGAGAAUUCUAUGGGAUGCGUACUGGGUCAGCAUGAUGAGUCAGGAAAGAAGGAAAAAGCUAUUUACUAUCUUAGUAAAAAGUUCACGGAAUGUGAGACAAGGUACCCACCGAUAGAGAAGUUGUGUUGCGCCCUAAUUUGGACAACCCGAAGGCUGAGGCAGUAUAUGUUGUAUCACACCACUUGGCUCAUAUCAAAAUUAGACCCUUUAAAGUAUAUGAUUGAGUCAACAGCUUUGAAGGGAAGAAUGACCCGAUAGCAGAUUUUGCUCUCUAAAUUCGACAUAGUUUAUGUGAACCAGAAAGCCGUAAAAGGGAGUGCAAUAGCAGAUUUUUUGGCUAGUAGAGCUUUGGAAGACUACGACCCUUUGAACUUCGAUUUCCCGAACGAGGAUCUGAUGUGUGUUGCGACCACUGAAGAAGGUGCUCUGGAAGAACUUCUCUGGAAACUGAACUUCGAUGGGGCGUCAAAUACCGUGGGUAAUGGAAUAGGAGCAGUCUUAGAAUCCCCAAACGGAGAUCAUUAUCAAUUACUAGCAAAUUGGAUUUUGAUUAUACGAAUAACAUGGCAGAAUACGAGGCAUGCAUCAUGGGUAUCCGUACAGCCAUAAAACACAAGAUUAAAGCACUAGAGGUUUAUGAGGAUUCCGCGCUAGUAAUUUAUCAACUCAAGGGAGAAUGGGAGAUCAGAGACCCUAAGUUGAUUGACUAUCGGAAACUGGUCCUUGAAUUGGUUAAAGAGUUCGAUGACAUUACCUUUUGCUACCUUCCACGAGACGAAAAUUAAAUGGCUGACGCUUUGGCUACCUUAGCUUCCAUGAUCAAGGUGAACAAACAAGAAGACGUCAAACCCAUCCAGAUGAGCAUUUAUGAAACUCUGGCUCUCUGUUACAAUAUUGAAGAAGAUGAGGAGAAAGAUGAUCACCCUUGGUAUCACGAUAUAUUGCAAUACGUGAAGAAUCGUGAAUACCUAGACCAGGUGAGCGAUAAUGACAAAAGAACGCUAAGAAGAUUAGCCAUCGACUAUGUCUUAGAUGGGGAUAUCCUAUACAAAAGAAGAAAGGAUCAAGUGCUAUUAAGAUGUGUAGACGCUGUAGAGGCUAAGAAAAUUUUGGAAGAAGUCCAUGAAGGCGUCUGUGAGACACACGCUAAUGGCUUUACAAUGGCCAAGCAAAUUAUGAGAUUCGGGUAUUAUUGGUCCACCAUGGAAGGAGACUGUGUCAAUUACGCCAAGAGAUGCCAUAAGUGCCAAGUCUAUGGAGACAAAAUUCAUGUGCCUCCUUCACCGCUGUAUGUCAUGGUUUCUCCAUGGCCAUUCUCUAUGUGGGGCAUGGAUGUGAUUGGACCAAUAUCACCGAAAGCUUCCAAUGGGCAUCGGUUCAUCUUUGUGGUUAUCGACUACUUCACCAACUGGGUAGAAGCCGCUUCGUAUGCUAGUGUUACAAAGUCAGCAGUAAGCAAGUUCCUGAAAAAAGAGAUCAUAUGUCGAUACGGAAUACCGGAGAGGAUCAUCUCUGACAAUUCAUUAAACCUGAACAAUAGUAUGAUAGCGGAGGUCUGCAGUCAAUUUAAGAUCAGACAUCACAACUCGUCACCAUAUCGCCUGAAGAUGAAUGGAGCAGUGGAAGCAGCCAAUAAAAAUAUUAAGAAGAUCGUGGGAAAGAUAACCGAGACCUACAAAGGUUGGCAUGAGAAAUUACCAUUUUCCCUCUUUGCUUAUCGAACAUCGGUCAGAACCUCAACUGGGGCAACGCCUUUCUCCCUGGUCUACAGAAUAGAAGCAGUUUUGCCCAUCGAAGUCGAGAUCCCAUCCCUCCGAGUGUUGUCAGAACUAAAAUUUGAUAAAGCAGAGUGGGUCCAGUCUCGAUAUGACCAAUUGAACUUGAUUGAGGAAAAGAGGCUAAAAGCUAUUCGUCAUGGUCAGAUGUACCAAAAGCGAAUGAUGCGGGCUUAUGACAAAAAGGUUCGCCCUAGAGAAUUCCACGAGGGAGACUUGGUUUUGAAAAAGAUCCUUCCCAUACAGAAGGAUUUUCGAGGGAAAUGGAUGCCUAAUUGGGAAGGGCCUUAUGUGGUGAAGAAAGCUUUCUCCGGAGGAGCAUUUAUUCUAACCGAGAUGGACGGUAGAAACUUGCCCAUUCCUGUAAACUCAGAUUCAGUCAAGAAGUAUUUUACAUGAAGAAAGAGAGGCCAGAGUGAAAACCCACAAAGGGCGCUCUGAAAUCUGAAAAAAAAAAGAAAAAACAAAGAGGUCAAGGUGAAAACCUAUAAAGGGCACUUUGAGACCAUAGGGGCUUUUGAGUUGAAAACCCGAAAACGGGCAGCUCAAAUUUUAAAUAUGGGGCAUAUGGUAGUCUUGUCCUCUUGAAAUCAGCAAUACAGAAGAACAGUACACCUUGGAGCAUCGACAAAAUACACAGGAUCUCCUGAAUACACAUUUGGUUCGAAGGAACCUUUAAGAAAUUGGAAUAGUGAAACUCGUGCUACGAUGUCUGGGGCACCUCUUUUCUCAUUUUUAUUUUGUGCUUUAGCAGAUUUUCUAUCCUAUUUGAUGUAUUCACUUCGAGUUUUACUCAAUAAAAUUCUGUUUUAUCCAUUAUGAUAAUCUCCUUUGAGCAUUUUUGUUGAAAUCGCGAUUUUUGAACAUGUAAUAUUCACACAAAAGAUGUUAUGCAUAUUACUCUGGAAAGUCUCUAAAUAGUACAAGAACCUGAAACAGGGCCGCUAGUCAAGACUAACCAGGUUCAAAGUUAGAAAACAUUGAGAAAAGAGUAGUCCAAAUUAUGACUAUUUCUUCAAAAUUUCUGUCAGAGAUAAUGGCUAAGCAAGAAGACGUGAUAGCACAUCAAUGAUGGAACCCGGACGAAUUAUGAGUAAUGAUACUUUAAGCGUUUAAAAAGGAAUCACUAUCAUAACAUUUCUACAUUUAUAAUUAUUCAUUUAGUUCGGAGCACUUGAUUCAUUUUGAUCAUAGCAUUCUAAUUACUUGACAUAAACACCACGUAUAGUCAGGGGCAUUAGAUUCAUUUUGAUCAUGGCACCCUAAUUAUUUGGCAUACAUAGAUACAGGAAACCAAUUCUACAAAUCAUGUCUUUAGAAGACGGUGUAGCAAUAUUGGUGAAUCCUACAGAUCUUGUUUCCUUGAAGUUGCAGUGAAGCAGAUCGAAGACGGUGAAUCUUGGCUUCCUGAAGUUGCAGUGAAGCAGAUUUAAGCCACCAACCUAGCUCCCAAAAAGUUAUAGUGGAGUAGGCUGAAAUUUUAGGUCUUGUUUCCCUGGAGUUGCAGUAAAGCAAAUCGAAGACGGUGAAUCUUGGCUUCUUGAAGUUGCAAUGAAGCAGAUUUAAGUCACCAACCUAGCUCCCUAAAGUUGUAGUGGAGUAGGCUAAAAUUUUAGGUCUUGUUUCCCUGAAGUUGCAGUGAAGCAGAUCGAAAACGGCGAAUCUUGGCUUCCUGAAGUUGCAGUGAAGCAGAUUUAAGCCACCAACCUAGCUCCCUAAAGUUGUAGUGGAGUAGGCUGAAAUUUUAGGUCUUGUUUCCCUGAAGUUGCAGUGAAGCAAAUCAAAGACGACGAAUCUUGGCUUCCUGAAGUUGCAGUGAAACAGAUUUAAGUCACCAACCUAGCUCCCUAAAGUUGUAGUGGAGUAGGUUGAAAUUUUAGGCCUUGUUUCCCUGAAGUUGCAGUGAAGCAGAUCGGAGACGACAAAUCUUGGCUUUCUGAAGUUGCAGUGAGGUAGAUUUAAGCUACCAACCUAGCUCCCUAAAGUUGUAGUGGAGUAGGUUGAGAUUGCAGAUCUUGUUUCCCUAAAAUCGUAGUGGAGCAGAUCGAAGACGGUGAAUCUAGGCUUCCUGAAGUUGCAGUGAAGCAGAUUUAAGCCACCAACCUAGCUCCCUAAAGUUGUAGUGGAGUAGGCUGAAAUUUUAGGUCUUGUUUCCCUAAAGUUGCAGUGAAGCAGAUCGAAGACGGUGAAUCUUGGCUUCCUGAAGUUGCAGUGAAGCAGAUUUAAGUCAUCAACCUAGCUCCCUAAAGUUGUAGUGGAGUAGGUUGAAAUUUUAGGCCUUGUUUCCCUGAAGUUGCAGUGAAGCAAAUCGAAGACGACAAAUCUUGGCUUUCUGAAGUUGCAGUGAGGUAGAUUUAAGCCACCAACCUAGCUCCCUAAAGCUGUAGUGGAGUAGGUUGAGAUUGCAGAUCUUAUUUCCCUGAAAUAGCAGUGGAGCAGAUCGAAGACGGUGAAUCUAGGCUUUCUGAAGUUGCAGUGAAGUAGAUUUAAGCCACCAACCUAGCUCCCUAAAGUUGUAGUGGAGUAGGCUGAAGAUUGUAGAUCUCGUCUCCAAUGGAGCAGAUCGAAGUCACAAUCCUUAUCUCUCUGAAGUUGCAGUAGAGUAGGGUAAAAACACACGAACCAUGUCUCCCUGAAGUUGCAGUGGAGCAUAUUGAAGCUACUUGAAGAAAAGAAGAACCAAGAAGUCGAAACUCAGCAGGUCUUGGCAAAAUUGGCCCAUUUAUAGUCUUUGCUCUAUUCUCGUUCCACGACAAUGAGCAAAGAGGGCCAGCUGUAGUGGGCCAAAUUUGCCUGGCCCGUAUAAAGACAAAAAAAAUUAAAACAAUAAUAAAUAAUAAAAAACCCACUGUCCAUUACAGCCCAAUUACAAAAAAAUAAGCCCAAACCAACCCAUUUAAAACCGGACCCAAACUUACAAGGCCCGAUAGGCCCAUUGCUUUUAGAACAGGCAGAACCCUAGGGUUCCUUUUUCUCUAGCGCCGCAGCCGAUCCCAGCCUCCACGCCUCCAACAGCUACUCCACACCCCGUACUCGAGCACCAGCACACGGCCCUCGUACGCCAUGCCCGUACCUCCGUACAAUGCCAGUGGACUUCGUACCUGCAUACAAAUAUAAAAACACCAGCACAUCAAAGAAAGAGGAGAAAAGAAACAAAACUUGUAUUUUCUUUUUCAUUUUUUUUUCUCUCUGUUUUCGGCUAUAAAAGCCGUAGAAUAGCGGUUGUAUUUUGGUUCCUUUUUUUUGACGCAAGAAAAACACGAAUACAAACACAGACAAUAUACGCAAUAGAAAAGCAAUAGACGAAUCGAAAGGUGAUUCAUUCACAAUCUCCCUCCCUUAUUUUCCUUUUCUUCUCUCAUUUUACCUUUUUUGAAUCGAAUGUAUGAAAAGAGAAACGAAACUUACCUGCGUUUGAUGUCUUCGAAUCCUCGCUUGCUUCGCUACGAUUGAAACCAAGCGGUGAUUCGGGGUUCGUGAGCAAGACAUGCGAAUCUUUCGGUUCGAUUGAGCCUGGAUUGACUCUUGAGUGAGUCGAAAGGAUAGGCAGGAGAACAGGCCUUCGAAAGGCUGAUUAAACGGCGAAGGGCGAAGGCACCCUAGUUUUUUUUCUUUCUUGCUCUUUGAAA
RNAcentral lists this long non-coding RNA (16649 nucleotides) under Gossypium barbadense (sea-island cotton). RNAcentral's name for it is "long non-coding RNA (GBAR_LNC000323)". Lineage: Eukaryota; Viridiplantae; Streptophyta; Magnoliopsida; Malvales; Malvaceae. The record is from RNAcentral.